CAGCAGCCGCGGGAAUACGAAGGGGGCUAGCGUUGUUCGGAAUUACUGGGCGUAAAGCGCACGUAGGCGGUGAGUUAAGUCUGCUGUGAAAUCCCCGGGCUCAACCUGGGAAUGGCAGUGGAUACUAACUCGCUAGAGUGUGUCAGAGGAUGGUGGAAUUCCCGGUGUAGCGGUGAAAUGCGUAGAGAUCGGGAGGAACAUCAGUGGCGAAGGCGGCCAUCUGGGACAACACUGACGCUGAGGCACGAAAGCGUGGGGAGCAAACAGGAUUAGAGACCCGUGUAGUCCCUGUCUCUUAUAC
This 301-nucleotide ribosomal RNA is filed under the name uncultured bacterium. RNAcentral describes it as "partial 16S ribosomal RNA". It matches the Rfam family "Bacterial small subunit ribosomal RNA", at positions 509 to 807 of the family's 1533-position model. The record is from RNAcentral.